GUGGGGAAUAUUGGACAAUGGGGGGAACCCUGAUCCAGCCAUGCCGCGUGUGUGAAGAAGGUCUUCGGAUUGUAAAGCACUUUAAGUUGGGAGGAAGGGCAGUAAGUUAAUACCUUGCUGUUUUGACGUUACCGACAGAAUAAGCACCGGCUAACUUCGUGCCAGCAGCCGCGGUAAUACGAAGGGUGCAAGCGUUAAUCGGAAUUACUGGGCGUAAAGCGCGCGUAGGUGGUUUUGUAAGUUGGAGGUGAAAUCCCCGGGCUCAACCUGGGAACUGCCUCCAAAACUGCAUGACUAGAGUACGGUAGAGGGUAGUGGAAUUUCCUGUGUAGCGGUGAAAUGCGUAGAUAUAGGAAGGAACACCAGUGGCGAAGGCGACUACCUGGACUGAUACUGACACUGAGGUGCGAAAGCGUGGGGAGCAAACAGGAUUAGAAACCCGGGUAGUCC
Molecule: ribosomal RNA, 450 nt
Filed under: uncultured bacterium
Lineage: Bacteria
Description: partial 16S ribosomal RNA
Rfam family: Bacterial small subunit ribosomal RNA
Source: RNAcentral